AAGCAUAUCAAUAAGCGGAGGAAAAGAAACCAACAGGGAUUGCCCCAGUAACGGCGAGUGAAGCGGCAACAGCUCAAAUUUGAAAUCUGGCCCCUAGGGUCCGAGUUGUAAUUUGUAGAGGAUGCUUUUGGUGAGGUGCCGCCCGAGUUCCCUGGAACGGGACGCCACAGAGGGUGAGAGCCCCGUCUGGCUGGCCGCCGAGCCUCUGUAAAGCUCCUUCGACGAGUCGAGUAGUUUGGGAAUGCUGCUCAAAAUGGGAGGUAUAUGUCUUCUAAAGCUAAAUAUUGGCCAGAGACCGAUAGCGCACAAGUAGAGUGAUCGAAAGAUGAAAAGCACCUUGAAAAGAGGGUUAAAUAGUACGUGAAAUUGUUGAAAGGGAAGCGCUUGUGACCAGACUUGGGCGCGGCGGAUCAUCCGGGGUUCUCUCCGGUGCACUUCGCCGCGUCUAGGCCAGCAUCAGUUCGUCGCGGGGGAAAAAGGCUUCGGGAACGUGGCUCCUCCGGGAGUGUUAUAGCCCGUUGCAUAAUACCCUGCGGUGGACUGAGGACCGCGCAUCUGCAAGGAUGCUGGCGUAAUGGUCACCAGCGACCCGUCUUGAAACACGGACCAAGGAGUCGUCUUCGUAUGCGAGUGUUCGGGUGUCAAACCCCUACGCGUAAUGAAAGUGAACGCAGGUGAGAGCUUCGGCGCAUCAUCGACCGAUCCUGAUGUUCUCGGAUGGAUUUGAGUAAGAGCAUACGGGGCCGGACCCGAAAGAAGGUGAACUAUGCCUGUAUAGGGUGAAGCCAGAGGAAACUCUGGUGGAGGCUCGCAGCGGUUCUGACGUGCAAAUCGAUCGUCAAAUAUGGGCAUGGGGGCGAAAGACUAAUCGAACCUUCUAGUAGCUGGUUUCCGCCGAA
Molecule: ribosomal RNA, 899 nt
Filed under: Trichoderma pleuroti
Lineage: Eukaryota; Fungi; Ascomycota; Sordariomycetes; Hypocreales; Hypocreaceae
Description: LSU rRNA
Rfam family: Eukaryotic large subunit ribosomal RNA
Source: RNAcentral